CCCUUAGAUGUCCUGGGCCGCACGCGCGUUACACUGAUGCAUUCAACGAGCCUAUCCUUGACCGACAGGUCCGGGUAAUCUUUGAAUCUGCAUCGUGACGGGGAUAGAUUAUUGCAAUUAUUAAUCUUCAACGAGGAAUGCCUAGUAGGCGCAAGUCAUCAGCUUGCGUCGAUUACGUCCCUGCCCUUUGUACACACCGCCCGUCGCUCCUACCGAUUGGGUGUGCUGGUGAAAUGUUCGGAUCGGCCGUUUGUCGCGGUUUCCGCGGCUCGUGGCUGAGAAGUUCAUUAAACCCUCCCACCUAGAGGAAGGAGAAGUCGUAACA
Molecule: ribosomal RNA, 325 nt
Filed under: uncultured eukaryote
Lineage: Eukaryota
Description: partial 18S ribosomal RNA
Rfam family: Eukaryotic small subunit ribosomal RNA
Source: RNAcentral